GACGAACGCUGGCGGCGUGCUUAAUACAUGCAAGUCGAACGGACAGGCCCUGCCUUUGCUUGCUGCUCGAUAGGCUAUCGGGUGCGUAACACGUGAGUAACCUGCCCUUAACUUUGUGGUAACUUCAGGAAACUGGGGCUAAUACCGGAUAGGAGCUCCUGCUGUUAGUUAGUGCAUGGAAAUUUUCGGAGGUUGGGGAUGGCCUCGCGGCUUAUCAGCUAGUUGGUGGGGUAGUUGCUUACCAAGGCUUUGGCGGUUCGCCGACCUGAGAGGGUGACCGGCCACAUUGUGACUGGGAUAGCGGCCAGACUCCUACGGGGGGCAUCGGUGGAAAAUAUUGCGCAAAGGGCCGCAGCCGUGAACGACGACGCCGCGUCGUAGAUGACUGUCGUCAGGGAAUAAACCGUUUUCGACUGUAACGUACAGUGUGUGACGGUAAUUUAUAAAAAAGAAACGGCUAACUACGUG
Molecule: ribosomal RNA, 468 nt
Filed under: uncultured bacterium
Lineage: Bacteria
Description: partial 16S ribosomal RNA
Rfam family: Bacterial small subunit ribosomal RNA
Source: RNAcentral